This 374-nucleotide ribosomal RNA is filed under the name uncultured bacterium. RNAcentral's name for it is "bacterial SSU rRNA". It matches the Rfam family "Bacterial small subunit ribosomal RNA", at positions 29 to 416 of the family's 1533-position model. The record is from RNAcentral.
AGCGAACGCUAGCGGCGGGCUUAACACAUGCAAGUCGAGCGCAUCUCCUUCGGGAGGUGAGCGGCGAACGGGUGAGUAACACGUAGGUAACGUACCCUCUGGUGGGGAAUAACCCAGGGAAACUUGGGCUAAUACCGCAUGUGCCCUUCGGGGUGAAAGACUUCGGUUGCCAGAGGAUCGGCCUGCGGCCCAUUAUUUAAUCCUAGUUGGUAGGGUAACGGCCUACCAAGGGUACGAUGGGUAGCUGGUCUGAGAGGAUGAUCAGCCACACUGGGACUGAGACACGGCCCAGACUCCUACGGGAGGCAGCAGUGGGGAAUAUUGGACAAUGGGCGAAAGCCUGAUCCAGCCACGCCGCGUGAGUGAUGAAGGCC